GCCGGUGCCGUUCAUGUUUCAGAGAACUGCCCCUGACCUCAACGCCUGGCGUCUCAAGUCCCCGUUGGCUCUACGUUCCGACUCCGCCUCCGUCUCUCCCGAACUACCCUCUCCGCAGACAGGGAAUAUUCAUGCCAACUUAUCGAUCUUGCGGAGAUCGAUUCCUGGGCUGGUGGAAAGAGGGAGAGGGGAGAAAGAGGCAAAGAUACGGUGAAAGGAGAAGGACGGUGAACGAGGAGAAGGGAGCAUACUGUCUUUAUUUCGUUUUAUUUCACUCAUUUUCGACAGUGUGUGUAUAUCUGUGUUGUGAUUCAGACAUUGAACUGACAUUUUUGUCGAAUAGGCCUCUUCUGUCUCAAUUCGAGACAAUGGUUAUGUGUGUGUGGAUAACGCCUUUAUUUCAGUAGCCUAAACAUGACAGACAUUGAUUUCUCAGGACCACGUUUGUCUGUCCAGAUGCUUGUCUGCGUGUGGUGGCAGUGUGGCUGGUCGCUAAACCCGGCAGGGGAAGGCGGGACCAUUGAGGCUGGACUGGGGAGGGCGGCUGUGGCGCCGUCUGCGUUUCAUCUGCGCUGAAGCGGAAUAAAAGGACACAUGGUGGGAGCAGCCAGCCCGGCUUCCGUGUGUCGCUGCCAGUGUGUCACUGUGGCGUCGUCUAGCUCUGGAAUUAGGCAGCCGCCCCGACGUGAAACAGCAGCGGUUUACAGCUUUUCUCUUCAUCAUCAGUAGGGAGUGGAAGUAUGCGUAAUGUCCCUGAUCUAGGUGUGUAUGUGUCUGUAGAGGCGGGGGUUGGUGGAAAAUACCAUAUGAAUGCACUGAGCGUUUAUAUUCCACCCUCCCGAUGUAUUAAAGCCAUUCAGAAUGCAUGCACAUAUUUGCCUGUCACGGUUUAAUGGUGCAUAAAUACAGCUUGGUGUGCACCUUGGAGGUGUCUGCGUUCUUAAAGAGACAGGCACACAUUUAUCUGUGUAAGACUUUAUUUUUCUCUCUUUUUCCAAUGUGUAAUUUUCAGAUCAGUUCAAGUUCAUUUGAUUUCAGAAAGGCGAGUUUCUCUCCACCAUUUACUAUCUGUCACUAGAAGGGUGUUUAUACACCAUGAUGUAAAGAUGAGGGGAUGUGAGAGAGAGAGAGGGCAGAGGGGAGCGUAGAGGGAUGAGAGUGACCUGUUACCUAGAUGUAUCUCUAGAGUUAGCACAUAGAGGAGAGGGUGGAGAGGAAGGACAGAGAAGCGAGAGAGGGAGCGGGUACUGGGAGGAGGAGUUUUCGAGAUCUGCACGUUGAAAAAUGGCGAAUGUCAGAGUGAGAUAAAAAAAAUGGAGAAAGAGGGAGAGAGAAGCCGGUGAAAGUAAAAGCAGAUGACAGAGUGA
Long non-coding RNA from Salvelinus fontinalis (brook trout), 1367 nucleotides. RefSeq lists it as uncharacterized. The transcript is spliced from 2 exons. The record is from RefSeq and is a predicted model, not a curated record. NCBI's taxonomy places the organism in Eukaryota, Metazoa, Chordata, Actinopteri, Salmoniformes, Salmonidae.